Thamnophis sirtalis is the source of this 5488-nucleotide non-coding RNA. The record is from RefSeq and is a predicted model, not a curated record. NCBI's taxonomy places the organism in Eukaryota, Metazoa, Chordata, Lepidosauria, Squamata, Natricidae.
ACGCGCGCUUCCCUUUAAUUACCCGCCCAAGGCAAGCACUAGAAUCAAACCUUUGGCGGGGAGAAAACUGGGGCGUCUUCAUUGCGAGCGACGAACGGAGCAGCAGCAGCAGCAGCAGCGAGAGAAAACAUUCCCCAACCCAGCAGCGAUAUUCUGUACCGGCUUCCCCAGCAAGCCAGCCACAUUCUGCACGGGCGCUCGCUAGCAGGAGGGAAAGUCAUCUGGCAAGCCAUGGCCCCUACGCACUUUCAGCUUCUCCUGGUAGCCUCCGAGCAAAGGAAGCGGGUUUGGGGGCUCCCGCUUCUUCUUUUGGGGUUGUCUCUUGCCCCACUAAGAUGUGCUGCCUUCAACCUGGACACUAAGUUUGUGGUUCUGAAGAAAGGCAAAACUCCCGACAGUUACUUCGGAUUCUCAGUAGCUCUGCACCAUCAGUUCCAACCGGAAAGAUACCUGAUUCUUGCUGGAGCUCCCCGUGAUGUGGCUAUCAAGAUGGAUAAUAAAACAAAGACAGGUGCUAUGUAUGCUUGUCCUUUGACUGCAAUUCCCAGUGAUUGUACACAGGUGGACUUUCAGGUGAAAAGUGAUCCACAAAAUAAUAUUGUUGAAGACAUGUGGCUGGGGGUGGUGGUAGCAAGCCAACGUAAAGCUUAUGGGCGAGUAAUGGCUUGUGCUCACCGAUACACUCGGAUUUUUGGCAGUGAACAUCAGAGGCGCAUGGUAGGAACAUGCUAUAUCCAUAGCAAUGACUUGAGUCAUCAGGUGAAUGAUUCAUGGCAAACUUAUAAUGAGAUGUGUGCUGCCAACUCAGACUUGGAGAAUACUGGCAUGUGCCAAAUGGGCAUCAGUGGUGGCUUCACAGACAACUUUGUCUAUUUUGGAGCUCCGGGAGCUUAUCAUUGGCAAGGAACGGCUUUUGUGAGCUACCCGGGAAUUUGGGACCAAGUAGAUUUAUCCUAUCCAGAUCGGAAAACUAGACACAUUUACCUAGGAUACGCCACAGAAGCAAGCACCAACGUACUGCACAAAGAAGACUUCUCUUUUAUUAUUGGGGCACCUCGUUUUAAUCACACUGGAGCCGUCUUUGUGAUGUCAAGUGAUGGCCGCAAGGACCUUCAGAAGAGACUGCUUCUCGUUGGCAAGCAAGUGGGUUCUUAUUUUGGCAGCGCCAUUGCCGUGGCUGACCUCAACAGUGAUGGGUGGCAGGAUUUAAUCAUUGGAGCACCACACUACUUUGACCAGAAGGAGGAGAAAGGUGGGGCUGUCUAUGUAUACAUGAACCUUGGGGGAACUUUCUCCAGCCAUCCCAACCUCACACUGACUGGACCCAGUGGUUCUUCCUUUGGUUUCUCUGUGGCUCACAUUGGCGACAUUAACAAAGAUGAUUUUCAAGAUAUUGCCAUUGGGGCACCCUAUGAAGGUUCGGGGAAAGUAUACAUCUACCAGAGUGGUGUAGGUGGUCUUGCUAAUAAGCCACAGCAGAUCAUUAGUGGGGAAGAUUUUAAUCCUGUUGUCAAGACUUUUGGUUACUCCUUCAGUGGCGGAAUGGAUGUGGAUGGAAAUUCCUAUCCUGAUCUCCUGGUGGGAACUCUCUCAGAAAAUAUCUUGCUACUCAGAGCCCGUCCAGUGAUCAAUAUCCUAAACAAGACUUUUACUGUUACUCCAAGCCCUCUGGACCCAAGCAAAUGUACUCAAAGCUCUUGCAUGAAGGUAGAACUCUGCUUCUCCUAUUCUCAAAGUGCUGGAGAUCCCAAAUACAAGGAAACCAUCAAGCUGGAUUACAUUGUGGAAGCUGACCGUUACCGCCGGCCACCCCGUGUAUAUUUUGCUGAGACCAACUCUGCUAUCUACAAGGGACAAUUUUCCAUGCCAAGCAAGUGCCAAAACCUGAGAGUCGUUCUACAGGAUGACAUACGAGACAAGCUCCAUCCCAUUGCGUUCUCUAUGAAGUACUCUCUUUCAGAAAAGCCCCGGAGAUUCCAGUUGGGAUUACGCUCCCUUAAUGCAUUUCCUGUUUUGAAUGAGGAUCAGCCUCGUGAAAACUACACUGAGAUUCAGUUUCAGAAGGAAUGUGGAGCUGACAGCCAAUGCAAUAGCAACUUGCAGAUUCAGGCACUCUUUCUAAAUGAAAAGAACCAAAAGCUGCCCAGACGAGAUGGUGUGCAGGUGUUACAGUACAGCUCGGAAGUCAAGAAACUGAAUUUGACCAUCAAAGUCACUAAUAAGCCAACGUCACCUACCAAUGGAGAGGAUGCUCAUGAGGCUCUCCUCAAUAUCACUUUCUCACCCUUCCUGGUGCCGUCUUCAAUUCGGCCGAGUGGGCUCUGCACUGUCAAAGAGACUGUGAUAUGUGAACUGGGCAAUCCCUUCAAAAAGAAUCAGCAGUUAGAGCUGAUUAUCACAUUUGAAAUUGGUGGGAUUACUUUAUCUACCCAGAAUAUCACUGUCCAGGUUCAACCUUCCACGAUAAGCUAUCAGGAAGAUCUCCAACUAGUGACAGCAGCUUUGUUAGUGGACUACACAGUUGAUGCAUCACUGAGCAUAAUCAAUCGGUGGCUUCAGUCAUACUUCAGUGGGAAAGUCGUAGGAGAAUCAGCCAUGAAGCAUGAAGAAGAUGUAGGCAAUCCCAUUGAGUUCGACUUCCAGGUGACUACGAAGAGUGAGUCUUUAGCUUCCCUGGGAACAAUCACAUUAGGCUUUGAAUGGCCUUAUGAAGCCAGUAAUGGAAAGUGGCUGCUCUACCCCACUGAAAUCUUGAUAAAAGGGAAGGAAGACUGGUAUUGCGAACCAUCUGAAGACGUCAUCAACCCCCUCAAGCUCACUAAAACAGAUCACAACGCUACCUCAGCAAGGAGAAAGCGUGAGUUGCAGGAAUCACCGAAGUCUGAGAUUCCCAUCACCUUAGCGUCUUCAAAGAAAGCCAGAUCACAAACAGCACUGAGUUGUUCCAAAGGAACUUCUCGUUGCAUCUGGUUUGAAUGCCCCUUGUGGAAUAUCGGAGCAGUUACAAAUGUGAAGGCCCGAGCAAGAGUUUGGAGCAGCACUUUCAUUGAGGAUUACAAUGACUUUGAUCGUGUCAAAGUAGAUGGGCAAGUGACUCUUUUUCUCAGGACAAACUCCUCUACAAUCAGUAUGAAAAAUCAAACAGUGUUGUUUACUGUAGACAUCGACUCAGAACUCAGUGAAGAGCAGCAGGCAGAGAUUGAGCUGUGGGUGGUGCUAGUUGCUGUUGCUGCAGGACUACUGCUCUUGGGCUGUAUCAUCUUAUUGCUGUGGAAGUGCAACUUUUUCAAGCCAACCCGCUACUACCGCAUCAUGCCCAAAUACCAUGCCAUUCGCAUCCGGCAGGAGGAGCGCUACCAGCCAGCUGGCGGUUUCUUGCCUCCAAAGCACAAGAAGCGAUGGGUGACAAACUGGCAGGAAACGGGAAGAUACUACUGACAUCUGCCUCAGUUUCCUCCUCUCCUGUGCUCACUCCCAGGCUGUUUAGCUUUCCUUUGUAAAUAUUGCUGGACCAACCAAGGAACUCUUAUUUAUACCUUCCAUCACCUGGCACCAAUCAGAUAUAUUGGACUACAACUCUAAUCAUACUCUGCCAUACUUCAUUUAGAGGGGAGGUUGAAUGAAUUUUGCCUUCUAUAACUGCAAUUGCCAUAUUUCCCAACUCCGGCAUGGAAAACUUGCAGGAUAUAUAGGGUCUGCAAUUGCUUCCAUAGGAUCUUGAACCAAUUUUCCCAGGUCUAACCUCUAUUUUUAGAUCCUAACUAGCCAAGGCAGUAUUGCCGUCUCCCCUAGAAAUAAGGUUUUAUCAAAAACCUUCUUGAAUCUAAUGGUGUGGAUGAAGCCUGUUUAGUUCUGGGCCAGUAUCAGUUUCCACCCUUCCUAUAGAAUAAGUACUGGAUAUUUCAGCACUGGAACUUGUACUGGACUAAGGAUUACUGGCUAUAAUUUAGUCCUAUUUUUAAUUCUCUGGCAGGAAGGGUGGUUUCACUAGUAAUAGUACUAUUAUCUUAUUUUUAAGAAACUCUAAGAAAGCUUGAAAUGAGGAGUGUAGCAUUUUAUUUUUUUAACUUAAACAUUAGUUUUAAUGACUUUGAUCACUGGCUGGGUUUGAGACAUGCCAGGGAGUAGUUCAUUGCAGGAUUAGCUCCUGGCUACAGGAGGCCCUAGAUAGCAUCCUUUAGUGGGCUCCUUCCUGCAUUAGUGAGCCUUGGUAGGAUCUUCAUGCUUUUCACAGUAUUUGACAACAGUGCUAUGUCAGUGACGAUAGGACAGAUUUUGUUUUAAAGAGCAAUUUUAAAAUGAUAUCCAGGUGGGUCAGGUGUUGGCAGCUGUUCUUUUGCUAAAAGGAUUCUACAAUUUUCAGCUACAGCUUACUAAAGUUGUGCAUUCCUGGGUGAAGUGUGAUUUAAUUAUAAAGAAAGUCUAAGCCAUGGCUUCCUUCAUAACUGAACUGGGUCAAAGAGCAAAGUGAACAAUAGAGUCUUAAAAGUAGGCAACUCCUUUUCAAUAUUAAACAACUUUUAGAGAAGCCCAGUGGAAUGGGUAGUGAGAUAAGAAUGGCUGAAGCUAGCUGGGCAACUAAGAGAGAACAAGGUUCACCUACACACUACCUGUUCCCUGGCUACCAUGUUGAAUCAAGAGGAGAAAUUAAUGUCUUUUGCUUCACAUAAGAAACCUACGGAUUUAUGCGGAUCAACUUCUGCAGAGUUAAUCUUGCCAAAAAAUGCUUCGGUUUUCUGACUUGGGAUGUAUCCAGCAAUUCAGUUUAAUAAGAAACAAUAUUGGACUUGCCAACUCAGAGAAAUGAAAAUAUCUUUGGAAAACAGCAAAAAGAAGCACAAAAUAAUUGUGGUACCUUAAAUUCUUGCUUUUAGCUCACAUCUAAUUAUCUAUUAUGCUGGCCAACAUUUCAGACUUGUUUUUUUAAUCUAGGCUCUAAGCAAAGACUCUUGUGUUUGAUGUGUUGGACUGCAACUCCCAGUAUUCCCAAACAGCAUGGGAUUAUGGUACUUGUAGUCUAUUGCAUUUGGAAAGCAAUGGGCUAGAAAACUGCCUUAAUUUAUCUUAUUUCCAUGAGCCAAGGAUGGUUGCUGACCUCUGCACUAAACAAAAUUGAACCUAAACUACCAAAAUUGGGGCUUAUUUUGAUGUGUGAAAACUCCCUUAAAAGGGAUUGACCUUCUUUGGAUUCUAUUCCACAUGUCAUUGUCAAGAAAAUUUGAUUUCAUUCACUGAGUAUCCAUCCUUGACAAUAGUCAUAUUUUAUUUGCCCAUUCCUUCCCAUCUCCCAGGCAUGUUUUAAAUUACAAAGAAUGUCUUUAGUGAUGUAAAUACAUAAAUACAUUCAUAUAUAAAUAAAUGAAUCUAUAUAUAUAUUUGAUGUUUACUGGAUUUUCCCAUUGUUUAUGGUACUGGAGGUCUUGAAUCAUUGUGCCUUGAUUGUAAAUAAGCUUGAGUGUCUAUUUUAUGAAUAAAAAAUAUUAUGAUU